ACACACGAGGACCGAAGCCAUCUGGACUAUUCGAUGACACGACAGCACCAUGCUUUGCCCGCUCAGAAGCCCCAGCCUCAGGCAGCAUCGACAACUGCUUUCACACGGAAAGAGAAGAGCAGAGUUGCCACAGAGAGCAACCCUUUUUGGCUCCUCACAGGGAAACUGCGCCGACACCUGCUUCCGUUUUCUUGCAUUUGGAAUUUCACCCAAGGACGAGGAGCCUGCACCUAAGAACAGCCAGAAAGGACAAAAGCUGGGUCCUGACCGCCCCACGGCCACCAGGCACAAAAGCGAGCACUCAGGAGGCAUACGACAAUACGAACUAAAUGAACUAGAUCACCAGAAUGUUCUUCCUCAAAGAACAGCCACUAACAUUACUGUGGACAAAUGUCUAAAAGUAGUAUC
Molecule: long non-coding RNA, 408 nt
Organism: Neogale vison (American mink)
Lineage: Eukaryota; Metazoa; Chordata; Mammalia; Carnivora; Mustelidae
Exons: 3
Source: RefSeq, a predicted model, not a curated record